RNAcentral lists this ribosomal RNA (446 nucleotides) under uncultured bacterium. RNAcentral describes it as "partial 16S ribosomal RNA". It matches the Rfam family "Bacterial small subunit ribosomal RNA", at positions 338 to 795 of the family's 1533-position model. The record is from RNAcentral.
CCUACGGGCGGCAGCAGUAGGGAAUUUUCGGCAAUGGGGGGAACCCUGACCGAGCAACGCCGCGUGAACGAAGAAGUUAUUCGUAAUGUAAAGUUCUUUUAACAGGGAAGAAAGAGAAAUUUGACGGUACCUGAAGAAUAAGCUCCGGCUAACUACGUGCCAGCAGCGGCGUUAAUACGUAGGGAGCGAGCGUUAGCCGGAAUUCUGGGGCGUAACGGCUGGGUAGAUGGCAUAGUAAGUCUUUGGUAAAAAUGCUGGGCUCAACCCAGUAGGGCAAAAGAUACUGCAAAGCUAGAGUAUGACAGAGGCAAGUGGAACUACAGGUGUAGCGGUAAAAUGCGUAGAUAUAUGUAAGAACACCAGUGGCGAAGGCGGCUUGCUGGGUCGAUACUGACGUUGAGGAGCGAAAGCGUGGGGAGCAAACAGGAUUAGAUACCCCAGUAGUC